AUUGAACGCUGGCGGAAUGCUUUACACAUGCAAGUCGAACGGCAGCACGGGGCAACCUGGUGGCGAGUGGCGAACGGGUGAGUAAUACAUCGGAACGUGCCCAGUAGUGGGGGAUAGCCCGGCGAAAGCCGGAUUAAUACCGCAUACGACCUGAGGGUGAAAGCGGGGGAUCGCAAGACCUCGCGCUAUUGGAGCGGCCGAUGUCAGAUUAGCUAGUUGGUGGGGUAAAGGCCUACCAAGCCGACGAUCUGUAGCUGGUCUGAGAGGACGACCAGCCACACUGGGACUGAGACACGGCCCAGACUCCUACGGGAGGCAGCAGUGGGGAAUUUUGGACAAUGGGCGCAAGCCUGAUCCAGCAAUGCCGCGUGCAGGAUGAAGGCCUUCGGGUUGU
This 394-nucleotide ribosomal RNA is filed under the name uncultured bacterium. RNAcentral describes it as "bacterial SSU rRNA". It matches the Rfam family "Bacterial small subunit ribosomal RNA", at positions 29 to 426 of the family's 1533-position model. The record is from RNAcentral.